GCCAGCAGCGCGGCCGAGCGCGGGCGCCCGUCCCCAGCACGGAGCACUGCGGAUGCGGCGCGGGGCCGGCGCGGGGCUCCGGGCGCGCUCGGGGGUCGUGAGCGCCGCGCCCCGCGCCCCCGCGCGCCCCCCGCCCGCCCGCGCGCCCCACCGGGGCCAUGCAGUCGCUCAUCUCGCCGGUGACCAAGGCGAUCUUGGUGGCUCUGUUCAUCUUCGCCAUCCUGCUCAUCCUCUACGUGAUCCUCUGGUACAUCUGCCGCGAUGUGGACUGCGACCACGGCAUCUGAGCCCCGCGGCGCCCCGGCCCCGCCGCGCUGAGGGCGCCCCGCCCCGAGGGCCGCUGCGCCGGGCAUGGGGGCCGCGCGCCCCCCGCCCCGGGCCCCGCCGCGCGCCCGCCGCCGCCGCCGCCGCCGCCGGGCCGUGACCUUCAGGGACAGAGCGCGGAGAGCGGGGCCCCUGAAGGGACGGAGAGCUCUGGUGGCGGUGGAGCCUUUGUUCACCUGUUCUCCAGGUGCGAGCCAAGAGGUUAUGAGAACAUCUCCAUCAUGGGCCACCGGCAGGCCAGGACUCCAGUGUAGAGGGGUGGAUCCCUGGAGGUCACUUCUCGGCCCUUUUCUGGAGACUGCCAGCCUGCAUGCCGUCCCAGCUGCACUGUGGGGGUGAAGGGUGCGGUGACCACCAACGAGGAUGAAGGCCAUCCCCCUGUCACUCGUCUUGCCAAGCCAUUACCAGGCGGUCAGGACUCACGGGCAGUGUCUCCUCCGGGGCCAAUGCUGACAUCUGUAACCUCCAUCUACCCCUGUGGUCCCAUCCAGCAAUCCCUGCCCACCGCCUGGCCCACUCUGUUGUGAGGUUCUCAUCAGCCUUCCCCUUGUGCCUAGUCGUAACUCACAGGGGCUCCCACGCCCGUAGGGCAGCCCAUCGGAAGUGUCUCCUCUUAUUCCCGGCUUGAGACUUUCAGAGGACAGUCGGCUUCAGAUUAUACCACCAAUAAGGUAGGCGCAGCGGGGGCCUGACCCUUGUCAUCUCAGAAGCAAUCCAUACUGUUAAAAGAAAGGGACACGGACUGCGUCCAGGGCUCUCUGGCCUCCUCCGGUGCGCAGAGCAAAUGCUCCAAGGAAGAGACCCAAGGAAGUCCCCAUUCCUCCUUGUUGACAAAUAUUUUUGUCAGUCUGUUGCCAGGAGUAGAAACCAUGCUCUGGAAGGAAUGAAGAACGCCGUAAGACACAGACUGGAGACUUUGCACGCGGAAUAAGAGAGUUCUGGACCAUUCUAGAAACACACCUAGCAUUAGUUACAUUUGGACUCUCCGCAACGCAUCAGGCACUUUGUGAAUGGCGACCCGGGGCAAGCGUUGGGUUGCCUUAGUCCGGAUCACCACGAAGGACUUUGAGCUCUUUUUCCUCUGCUUCGUUUCAGACCUGAGGGAAACACGAUCGACAAUUCAGGUGGGCCCUGCCUCGCGGGGCGUGUACGUCUCCAUGAAUGUACUCGCUGGUGUGCAACCCGGCAAUGCCCACCCUCCCCCCGUCCUGUCCGUAUGCACCCUGGUGAGCUUUUUAUACACCCUCCUCCAACGCUACCAUCAUUCUGUCUUGCAGGUGUGUUGUAUGAUGCCUCUGUGUGUUGUCCCGUCAUAGCUUCUGCCUCCCCACGUGGAGAGAGGCAGCCAACACCAAGCUGAGACAUGAUGGCUAUUCCAGAAAAUAAAAUAUUUUUGAAACCGCA
Long non-coding RNA from Mustela lutreola (European mink), 1728 nucleotides. RefSeq lists it as uncharacterized. The record is from RefSeq and is a predicted model, not a curated record. Lineage: Eukaryota; Metazoa; Chordata; Mammalia; Carnivora; Mustelidae. The transcript is spliced from 2 exons.